UGCCCAAGAGAUCGGGAUAACACCUGGAAACAGAUGCUAAUACCGGAUAACAACAGAUGAUGCCUAUCAACUGUUUAAAAGAUGGUUCUGCUAUCACUCUUGGAUGGACCUGCGGUGCAUUAGCUAGUUGGUAGGGUAACGGCCUACCAAGGCGAUGAUGCAUAGCCGAGUUGAGAGACUGAUCGGCCACAUCGGGACUGAGACACGGCCCAAACUCCUACGGGAGGCAGCAGGC
This 235-nucleotide ribosomal RNA is filed under the name uncultured Lactobacillus sp. RNAcentral describes it as "partial 16S ribosomal RNA". It matches the Rfam family "Bacterial small subunit ribosomal RNA", at positions 127 to 354 of the family's 1533-position model. The record is from RNAcentral. Lineage: Bacteria; Bacillati; Bacillota; Bacilli; Lactobacillales; Lactobacillaceae.